GGCAUGUUGGUGCAGUUGGUAGCACUUUUGUCUCACAGCUAAAAGGUUGUGGAUUCAGAUCCGGCCUGGGGCC
Molecule: non-coding RNA, 73 nt
Organism: Gymnothorax javanicus (giant moray)
Lineage: Eukaryota; Metazoa; Chordata; Actinopteri; Anguilliformes; Muraenidae
Source: the annotation of a GenBank genome assembly